AACGAACGCUGGCGGCGCGCUUAACACAUGCAAGUCGAACGAGAAGGCGUAGCAAUACGCUUGUACAGUGGCGAACGGGUGAGUAAUACGUGGGCGACCUACCCUCGAGUGGGGAAUAACCCGCCGAAAGGCGGGCUAAUGCCGCGUACGCUUCCAUCUUUAUGGAGGUGGAAGGAAAGCCGUGCCGUGGGCACGGCGCUCAAGGAUGGGCUCACGUCCUAUCAGCUUGNGGUAGGGUAACGGCCUACCAAGGCUCCGACGGGUAGCUGGUCUGAGAGGACGAUCAGCCACACUGGCACUGCGACACGGGCCAGACUCCGUACGGGAGGCAGCAGUGAGGAAUAUUGCGCAAGUGGGACGAAAGCCUGACGCAGCGACGCCGCGGUGGGGGAU
RNAcentral lists this ribosomal RNA (393 nucleotides) under uncultured bacterium. Its description in RNAcentral is "bacterial SSU rRNA". It matches the Rfam family "Bacterial small subunit ribosomal RNA", at positions 29 to 409 of the family's 1533-position model. The record is from RNAcentral.